AGUGAACGCUGGCGGCGUGCUUAACACAUGCAAGUCGAACGAGAACGGAUUAUAGCUUGCUAUAAUUGUCAGCUAAGUGGCGCACGGGUGAGUAAUGUAUAGGUAAUAUGCCUCUUACUAAGGGAUAACAAAUGGAAACGUUUGCUAAUACCUUAUACUCCUUAUUAACAUAAGUUAAUAAGGGAAAGAUUUAUUGGUAAGAGAUUAGCCUGUAUUGUAUCAGUUAGUUGGUGGGGUAAUGGCCUACCAAGACUAUGACACAUAACUGGUUUGAGAGGAUGAUCAGUCACACUGGAAAUGAUACACGGUCCAGACUCCUACGGGAGGCAGCAGUGGGGAAUAUUGCACAAUGGACGAAAGUCUGAUGCAGCAACGCCGCGUGGAGGAUGACACAUUUCGGUGCGUAAACUCCUUUUAUAUGAGAAGAUAAUGACGGUAUUAUAUGAAUAAGCACCGGCUAACUCCGUGCCAGCCGCCGCCGUAA
This 484-nucleotide ribosomal RNA is filed under the name uncultured bacterium. RNAcentral's name for it is "partial 16S ribosomal RNA". It matches the Rfam family "Bacterial small subunit ribosomal RNA", at positions 29 to 523 of the family's 1533-position model. The record is from RNAcentral.